RNAcentral lists this small nuclear RNA (158 nucleotides) under Panthera leo (lion). RNAcentral's name for it is "U2 spliceosomal RNA (ENSPLOG00000019983.1)". It matches the Rfam family "U2 spliceosomal RNA". From Rfam's summary of the family: U2 is a small nuclear RNA (snRNA) component of the spliceosome (involved in pre-mRNA splicing). Complementary binding between U2 snRNA (in an area lying towards the 5' end but 3' to hairpin I) and the branchpoint sequence (BPS) of the intron results the bulging out of an unpaired adenosine, on the BPS, which initiates a nucleophilic attack at the intronic 5' splice site, thus starting the first of two transesterification reactions that mediate splicing. The record is from RNAcentral. Lineage: Eukaryota; Metazoa; Chordata; Mammalia; Carnivora; Felidae.
AUCGCUUCUCGGCCUUUUGGCUAAGAUCAAGUGUAGUAUCUGUUCUUAUCAGUUUAAUAAUACACCAAUAAGACAAUAAUACAACAAUAGCACAGUGCCUGCCACAUAUCUGAUUAUUUAUAAAUAUCUGAAGAAUGAAUGAAAAAAAGACAGUUGUU